Molecule: long non-coding RNA, 810 nt
Filed under: Anser brachyrhynchus (Pink-footed goose)
Lineage: Eukaryota; Metazoa; Chordata; Aves; Anseriformes; Anatidae
Description: lncRNA (ENSABRG00000017178.1)
Source: RNAcentral
UUAACUUUAUGUGGUAAUAUUACACCUGAACUGAGCCUGUCUGUUGGGAAGCACUAGGUUCACUUAAGGAAAGAUGCUUCUAGCUGGAAUUGGAAUGGACAGAAGAGCAGCAGACUAACCUGAGAGAAAAGGGCAAUGACUCUCCUGAAAUUAAACGGCAGCUUAAUGACACAGACACCAUUGUUUCUUCCUUCAUGCGUAUUGAGAGCCCGACUGGAAGUAAUCCAAGCAGCUUCAUUUUUGCCUGAAGUAGCAAAAGAAGUAAGAAAUUGCCUCUUUUAAACUGUAUUUCAAGCUACUAUUGUUUAAGAUUCCUAAGAAAAGUACAGAGGGUAAAGUCAGUUAGUAAAUUAUUUUAAGAAUCUAAGAGAUACAACUAUAAAGAAAACUUUAAAGACACUUCCUUACAGCCUGUCUCAACAUCAUAAAACUACUUAAGCAUUCUGGGUGUAUUAUGUUCUCCUGCACCAGAAUAGCAAGUUGAUGUGUUCAUCAGUUCUCUCCAGAAGACAAUAUUACAUCAGUUCUACCAACUGUUUCUUAUAUCACUUAAGGUAAAAUAUGUAUGCUGAACUACUGUAAGAGACCUUUUAGGAGCUCUUUAGCAAUGGUAGGGUAGGAUUCCUCAUACCCUUUCAUUUUCUUCAUACCUCAUUUAACUACUAUAGUUUUCCCAAAUUCUUCAUCCUUUUUUUCAUCCUUUCUUUGGAAAUAUAUUUGUCCAGUUAACUCAAUAACAAAAGAAAUAUAUUUCCAUUGAUCUCUCUGACUGAGAAAACAGGUUUAUGGUAUUUUAUUGAAGGGUUUUAU